RNAcentral lists this ribosomal RNA (1297 nucleotides) under Brevibacterium casei. RNAcentral describes it as "contains 16S-23S intergenic spacer region". It matches the Rfam family "Bacterial small subunit ribosomal RNA", at positions 18 to 1322 of the family's 1533-position model. The record is from RNAcentral. Lineage: Bacteria; Bacillati; Actinomycetota; Actinomycetes; Micrococcales; Brevibacteriaceae.
CCUGGCUCAGGACGAACGCUGGCUGCGUGCUUAACACAUGCAAGUCGAACGCUGAAGCCUGGUGCUUGCACCGGGUGGAUGAGUGGCGAACGGGUGAGUAACACGUGAGUAACCUGCCCCUGACUUCGGGAUAAGCCCGGGAAACUGGGUCUAAUACCGGAUACGACUGCCGGACGCAUGUCUGGUGGUGGAAAGUUUUUUCGGUUGGGGAUGGGCUCGCGGCCUAUCAGUUUGUUGGUGAGGUAAUGGCUCACCAAGACGACGACGGGUAGCCGGCCUGAGAGGGCGACCGGCCACACUGGGACUGAGACACGGCCCAGACUCCUACGGGAGGCAGCAGUGGGGAAUAUUGCACAAUGGGGGAAACCCUGAUGCAGCGACGCAGCGUGCGGGAUGACGGCCUUCGGGUUGUAAACCGCUUUCAGCAGGGAAGAAGCGCAAGUGACGGUACCUGCAGAAGAAGUACCGGCUAACUACGUGCCAGCAGCCGCGGUAAUACGUAGGGUACGAGCGUUGUCCGGAAUUAUUGGGCGUAAAGAGCUCGUAGGUGGUUGGUCACGUCUGCUGUGGAAACGCAACGCUUAACGUUGCGCGUGCAGUGGGUACGGGCUGACUAGAGUGCAGUAGGGGAGUCUGGAAUUCCUGGUGUAGCGGUGAAAUGCGCAGAUAUCAGGAGGAACACCGGUGGCGAAGGCGGGACUCUGGGCUGUAACUGACACUGAGGAGCGAAAGCAUGGGGAGCGAACAGGAUUAGAUACCCUGGUAGUCCAUGCCGUAAACGUUGGGCACUAGGUGUGGGGGGCAUUCCACGUUCUCCGCGCCGUAGCUAACGCAUUAAGUGCCCCGCCUGGGGAGUACGGUCGCAAGGCUAAAACUCAAAGGAAUUGACGGGGGCCCGCACAAGCGGCGGAGCAUGCGGAUUAAUUCGAUGCAACGCGAAGAACCUUACCAAGGCUUGACAUACACCGGACCGUCCUGGAAACAGGUCUUCUUCUUUGAAGCUGGUGUACAGGUGGUGCAUGGUUGUCGUCAGCUCGUGUCGUGAGAUGUUGGGUUAAGUCCCGCAACGAGCGCAACCCUCGUUCUAUGUUGCCAGCACGUGAUGGUGGGAACUCAUAGGAGACUGCCGGGGUCAACUCGGAGGAAGGUGGGGAUGACGUCAAAUCAUCAUGCCCUUUAUGUCUUGGGCUUCACGCAUGCUACAAUGGCUGGUACAGAGAGAGGCGAACCCGUGAGGGCAAGCGAAUCCCUUAAAGCCAGUCUCAGUUCGGAUCGUAGUCUGCAAUUCGACUACGUG